This 656-nucleotide ribosomal RNA is filed under the name Lactobacillus jensenii. RNAcentral describes it as "bacterial SSU rRNA". It matches the Rfam family "Bacterial small subunit ribosomal RNA", at positions 57 to 681 of the family's 1533-position model. The record is from RNAcentral. Lineage: Bacteria; Bacillati; Bacillota; Bacilli; Lactobacillales; Lactobacillaceae.
GCAGUCGAGCGAGCUUGCCUAUAGAAAUUCUUCGGAAUGGACAUAGAUACAAGCUAGCGGCGGAUGGGUGAGUAACGCGUGGGUAACCUGCCCUUAAGUCUGGGAUACCAUUUGGAAACAGAUGCUAAUACCGGAUAAAAGCUACUUUCGCAUGAAAGAAGUUUAAAAGGCGGCGUAAGCUGUCGCUAAAGGAUGGACCUGCGAUGCAUUAGCUAGUUGGUAAGGUAACGGCUUACCAAGGCGAUGAUGCAUAGCCGAGUUGAGAGACUGAUCGGCCACAUUGGGACUGAGACACGGCCCAAACUCCUACGGGAGGCAGCAGUAGGGAAUCUUCCACAAUGGACGAAAGUCUGAUGGAGCAACGCCGCGUGAGUGAAGAAGGUUUUCGGAUCGUAAAGCUCUGUUGUUGGUGAAGAAGGAUAGAGGUAGUAACUGGCCUUUAUUUGACGGUAAUCAACCAGAAAGUCACGGCUAACUACGUGCCAGCAGCCGCGGUAAUACGUAGGUGGCAAGCGUUGUCCGGAUUUAUUGGGCGUAAAGCGAGCGCAGGCGGAUUGAUAAGUCUGAUGUGAAAGCCUUCGGCUCAACCGAAGAACUGCAUCAGAAACUGUCAAUCUUGAGUGCAGAAGAGGAGAGUGGAACUCCAUGUGUAGCGG